GACGGGCCCGCACAAGCAGCGGAGCGUGUGGUUUAAUUCGAUGUUACACGAAGAACCUUACCAGGGUUUGACAUGCAAGUGGUAGGAAGCCGAAAGGUGACCGACCCUUCGGGGAGCUUGCACAGGUGCUGCAUGGCUGUCGUCAGCUCGUGUCGUGAGAUGUUCGGUUAAGUCCGCUAACGAGCGCAACCCUCGCUGUGUGUUAUAUGUGUCACACGGGACUGCCGGUCUUAAGCCGGAGGAAGGUGGGGAUGAUGUCAAGUCAGCAUGGCCUUUAUAUCCUGGGCUACACACACGCUACAAUGGCCAGCACAAUAGGUUGCUAAGCCGCGAGGUGGCGCCAAUCCAUAAAGUUGGUCUCAGUUCAGAUUGUAGGCUGCAACCCGCCUGCAUGAAGAUGGAGUUGCUAGUAACCGCAGGUCAGCUAUACUGCGGUGAAUACGUUCCCGGGGCUU
RNAcentral lists this ribosomal RNA (455 nucleotides) under uncultured Leptolinea sp. RNAcentral's name for it is "bacterial SSU rRNA". It matches the Rfam family "Bacterial small subunit ribosomal RNA", at positions 917 to 1381 of the family's 1533-position model. The record is from RNAcentral. Lineage: Bacteria; Bacillati; Chloroflexota; Anaerolineae; Anaerolineales; Anaerolineaceae.